AAAUUGAAGAGUUUGAUCAUGGCUCAGAUUGAACGCUGGCGGCAGGCCUAACACAUGCAAGUCGAACGGUAACAGGAAGCAGCUUGCUGCUUCGCUGACGAGUGGCGGACGGGUGAGUAAUGUCUGGGAAACUGCCUGAUGGAGGGGGAUAACUACUGGAAACGGUAGCUAAUACCGCAUAAUGUCGCAAGACCAAAGAGGGGGACCUUCGGGCCUCUUGCCAUCGGAUGUGCCCAGAUGGGAUUA
Molecule: ribosomal RNA, 246 nt
Filed under: Escherichia coli
Lineage: Bacteria; Pseudomonadati; Pseudomonadota; Gammaproteobacteria; Enterobacterales; Enterobacteriaceae
Also listed under: 1 other name
Description: partial 16S ribosomal RNA
Rfam family: Bacterial small subunit ribosomal RNA
Source: RNAcentral